RNAcentral lists this ribosomal RNA (465 nucleotides) under Vreelandella stevensii. RNAcentral describes it as "partial 16S ribosomal RNA". It matches the Rfam family "Bacterial small subunit ribosomal RNA", at positions 338 to 795 of the family's 1533-position model. Lineage: Bacteria; Pseudomonadati; Pseudomonadota; Gammaproteobacteria; Oceanospirillales; Halomonadaceae. The record is from RNAcentral.
CCUACGGGGGGCAGCAGUGGGGAAUAUUGGACAAUGGGGGCAACCCUGAUCCAGCCAUGCCGCGUGUGUGAAGAAGGCCCUCGGGUUGUAAAGCACUUUCAGUGAGGAAGAACGCCUGGUGGUUAAUACCCAUCAGGAAAGACAUCACUCACAGAAGAAGCACCGGCUAACUCCGUGCCAGCAGCCGCGGUAAUACGGAGGGUGCGAGCGUUAAUCGGAAUUACUGGGCGUAAAGCGCGCGUAGGUGGCUUGAUAAGCCGGUUGUGAAAGCCCCGGGCUCAACCUGGGAACGGCAUCCGGAACUGUCAAGCUAGAGUGCAGGAGAGGAAGGUAGAAUUCCCGGUGUAGCGGUGAAAUGCGUAGAGAGCGGGAGGAAUACCAGUGGCGAAGGCGGCCUUCUGGACUGACACUGACACUGAGGUGCGAAAGCGUGGGUAGCAAACAGGAUUAGAUACCCGUGUAGUC